GUGAACCCUGAAAUGUAGUCUCCUCUUAAAGUUAUCAGCAGGAAUCAGGGUAGGAUUCCUUCUGGGAUUCUCCAUUCUCCAUUCUCCAGGGCUUAUUCUUGAGCUAACUGUAAUUUUGCAUCUUGAGCAUGAUGACGUUGUGUGUGUUGCUAAGCAAGAAGAAAUCCAAAGCACCAUCGUUUUCCAGGUGAUCAAACAUGACACACCACAGCAUGCAAGUGCCUUGGACUUCCCACUAACUCCCAAAUAGCUCCCAGUACUUUUUACCUUCUUCCUGGUUAUAUCCAACUCCCCAAGAAGAGAAUUGGGCACUUGACUCUAUGAGGUGGCCUGUAAACUCUGAAAUCUUUGCUCUCCACAAUCACUCAAAAGCAGAUUGAUGAAGACUCUGCCAUCUUCAAGGCAGAUGGUUGAAGAUGGUUCCCAAGGUCACCAUGGCCCGUGAUGUGAAGCCAGAAAAGGAGCAGAGUACAGAUGCCUGGAUCUCCCACUCACCAAAAUCUUCUUCAAUCAGACUCUCUUUCUUGGAUUUCAUGGGUGGAAAGACCCUGGCCAGCUCCCUGGGGUGGUUCAUCACACCCAAGUCUUUCCUGAUGAACUUGCCUCAAGUCUUUGAAGACACAUUUAACACAUCACAUCACCCUUGUUAUACUGUGCUAAUGCUUGACUGCUGAGAAAUCUUGAUGCUGGAUGAUCUCACAUUCUACUUUCUUCAAGAAUCUUCACAAACUUAAACAAUUGGGAAUGGGUGUGUGUGUGUGUGUGUGUGUGUGUGUGUGUGUGUGUGUGUCUAUGUAUGUCCUUUCUUCCUCUGGCAAUCAUGAGCCUAUUUCCCAGAGCCCAUUGAAGUACCUACUACAUUCCCAUAGUAACUAUAUUUCCAGAAUGUUCCUGGUCCAAAUCAGAUUUGAGAUUGCCUCUGGUUCAUCCCUACACGGCUCCUGCCUUUGGUAGAGGUGCUCUGGGCAAUAUGAUGCUCAACAAAUAUUAUCUCCCUAUGCCUAAAGCCCAAAAUCACCACUGCCAUUCUAAGUUGUCAAUAUAACAUGUAAGAAACAUUCAUUAAAUGUUGUAAGUUGAAAGUGUUUAUUUACCUCCACUGUGUGCCAAAUGCCACAAAAUUUAUAGUAUGGAGAAAAAAUACAUAAAUCCUUG
Molecule: long non-coding RNA, 1155 nt
Filed under: Heterocephalus glaber (naked mole-rat)
Lineage: Eukaryota; Metazoa; Chordata; Mammalia; Rodentia; Bathyergidae
Description: lncRNA (ENSHGLG00000044592.1)
Source: RNAcentral